Spinacia oleracea (spinach) is the source of this 2265-nucleotide long non-coding RNA. RefSeq lists it as uncharacterized. The transcript is spliced from 2 exons. Lineage: Eukaryota; Viridiplantae; Streptophyta; Magnoliopsida; Caryophyllales; Amaranthaceae. The record is from RefSeq and is a predicted model, not a curated record.
AAAAUCGUACUGAAUUUCAAGUUUUUAUUUUUUUAGGGUUCAAAAUCAAAACAAAUGUUGCCCUAAACUCAAACUCGUAUCUCUAUCAGUCAUGGCCUCACACCGCUUCUCUCUCAUCUGUCUCCUUUCCCAAUCUCUCAUCUAGAUCUCUCGCCGGCGACUAUCGAUCUCUCACCGACCGUCCACUCUCAUCUCUCACCGGCUGCUCUCAAGCUCUCGUUUCACGGCAGCGUCUUAUCGAUCUCUCACCGACCAUAAGCUCUACUUCCGUUGUAAUUCACCGGGUAAUACAAUUUAUCUUAGUUCUUUACUUUGUAUUUUUUUAUGUGAAUCUGCAAGCUUGUUGGGGUAAUAUCAUACUAAUUACUAAAUGCCUGAUUUUUUUGAUUUUGGGUAAUCUGCAAGCCCAGGUUUUGGGUUUCCUCUUUCUAAUUAUUUUUGCCUUGUUGUUUAGCUGUUCGAGUGUUCAACAUUAUAGUCACCGGAGUAAUUAACAUUAUGCAGUGGCAAAUUUAUAUUUUAUGGACUAUUUGAUAGCUAAAGAUUGAGUUUGUAAUGUGCUUUGUCAAAUUGAGGGGACAACUAUUGAGAUAUGGUAUUAAUGAUGUUUGUUUUAUAUUUGUAUUUUAUCAAAUUGCUUUGAAACAUUCAACAAAAGAAAAUAAAAUAACAUUUCUUGGAAAUGUUGUUGACUGACAUGUAAUUGUAUUACUAUAGGGUCAUAAACAGAGGUCAAACAAUGUGCAAAAGUUGUUCACAUUAGUAAAUCUUUGUAUGUAGAUUAUUGAUGUCAGUAUGUCACUAAAUUUGGCUGUAAAUUCUACACGAAUUUGUACUUACAAGUUCUGGGUUGCUAUGUUUUACUAUGAAAUGGGUUGCUGUGUUUUACUACGAAUUUGUAAAUUCUACACGAAUCCUUGUUUUACUAAGUUACCUUGUUGCUGUGUUGUCUCAAUUUCUUGUGCACAAUGUUUGAAAAAUGUAUAGUGCAUUGACGUUACAAUAUUUUUUUAAUCUACUCCAUAGUUAAUAGUUAAAGUAGAGUUUUUACAGCUCUUGAAUUAUAGAUUUGAGCAAUUUAUUAAAUUGGAGAUAAAGGUGUCUUAUUUAUUUGUAUUUUACUUCCAAUUCUGUGAUAUUAUGUGAAUCUGCAAGCUUGUUGGGGUAAUUUAUUAAAAAAAAAAAGUUUAUUAUGUGAAUUAAAGAGUAUGGUAAGUGGUAACAGGGAUAGAAAUUUGACAAAAAAAAAUUUGUAUUGCUUUUCUCCUCUGCUUACUUAAUUAAAGAGUAAUUACAAGAUUGUUUUUAUUAUUUUGUGAUGGAAAAAUAGUUCAUUAAGCGGCUCAAACCCUUCUAAUUGAGAUAUUGUUGCAUAUUAAUGGAUGAAACGACCGGUGAAAGUGUUACACCCACUGGUCCCUCGAGCGAGGACCCUGUUGUUUCAAGUGCUCCUGGUGAAGGAGGUCAAAAUCCACAAGAGCAAGGGGCUGCUACGGUACCAAAAACUCUAGCCAAAAGGCCCGCAACUGAAACUGCCACUGAUGCUCAAAAUAAAGGUGAUCUUGAUGAAAAAUGAUGGAAAACAAGUGAAUUCGAGCCAAAACAGGGCUUGUGCGGUCGAGUGGUGUUUUGUGUGCCCGAACAGGUAGUGCAAAUGGAGUUCAAGGAGAUUCCAGUUUUGUGCGGUCGAAUGCCCUCUGUCAUUCGGUCGCACAAAACGGAUUUCUGAGACAGAAUGUCCCAAGAUUGUAAAACGACCGCACAACCCUGGUAAUUUGACAGCACAGGUUUUGUUCGACCGCACAACCUAUGUUGUUCGACCGCACAAAAGUUGUGCGCCCAAACGGCUUUCCUUGUUCGACCAAAUGGAGCUGCGAAGGAGACUUGAGCCAAAGGAUUCCCAUUCGACCGAACGGGGUUUUAUGUUUGGUCGCACAAGACGAAGAAAAUGUUCUUCGCUGCCUUCGCUCGCACAGGACCCAGCAUGCGCUCGAAUGACUCUUUUACGUUCGGUCGCACAAAAGGUUUGUGCGACCGAAUGGUUGCGCGGGCUGCUCUUGUUCGAAUUUUGGCUUCUAUUUGGGGAAACUUAUAAAUAGAUUUUUCGAUUAUUUUGUUAAGAGUAGAAUUUUAGUUGAUAAUUUUAGAUUCUAAAAGUUAGUUUUUCAGCAAUUCUAGAGAGAGAAACUCUCCUCCAUUCAAGCUUCAAUUUGUAAUCCUUCUUAACUCUUUUUCAAUUUUGCAAUUCAAUUCUUAGUUUCUUAA